Molecule: long non-coding RNA, 322 nt
Filed under: Carica papaya (papaya)
Lineage: Eukaryota; Viridiplantae; Streptophyta; Magnoliopsida; Brassicales; Caricaceae
Description: long non-coding RNA (CPAP_LNC005345)
Source: RNAcentral
UGGAAUACAAUUGUUAUCACUUGUAUUUCAAUUUUAAUUUCCUAUUUCAAUUGUUCUUGGUGCUUAUUUGGAUUGGGUUCAAGGGAUAUCAUUUAUCUUUCUUAGGUUCUCUUUAACUUCUACCAUUUGGGUGAUUGAACAAAUUUGAUUCCUUUUUUACUUGUGAUCUAAAUUCCGUUCUGAACCGAUUGAAGAGUCUAAGGUUCAAGCAAGGGCCUUGGGGUUCCGCAUCAUUUGGUAUCAGAGCAUUGGUUCACCAAGUAAAUUAGUCUAUCCUUAUUUUGUUGUCUUUAUUUUCAUUAUUGCUUACAAAAAAAAGGCA